Molecule: long non-coding RNA, 21009 nt
Filed under: Populus tremula
Lineage: Eukaryota; Viridiplantae; Streptophyta; Magnoliopsida; Malpighiales; Salicaceae
Description: long non-coding RNA (PTRE_LNC002611)
Source: RNAcentral
AGAGAAAGAAGGAAAGAGCUACAGACAUGUUUCGAAAAAUCUUAGCUGACAAGCCUCAUGUAAUUUGUAUUCCUUUUCCAACUCAAAGCCAUGUAAAGGCAAUGCUUAAACUAGCAAAACUACUGCAUUACCGAGGUUUUCACAUAACCUUUGUGAACACAGAGUUCAACCAUAGACGCAUGCUUGAAUCUAGAGGCCCUUCUUCCCUGAAUGGCUUGCCCGACUUUCGGUUCGAAUCUAUCCCAGAUGGCCUCCCUCCUUCAGAUGAGAAUGCUACCCAAGAUGUACAAGCACUUUUUGAGGCUUGCAUGAAGAACUUGCUAGCUCCAUUUAAUGAAUUGCUUGCCAAGCUCAAUGAUACAGCAUCUUCUGAUGUUCCUCAAUUGACUUGCAUUGUAUCUGAUGGAUUUGUUCCAGCUGCCAUCACUGCUGCUCAGAGGCAUGGAAUUCCUGUUGCUUUGUUCUUUUCUAUCUCUGCUUGCAGUUUCAUGGAGUUUAAGCAAUAUAAAGAGCUCAAAGAAAGAGGACUGUUUCCAUUAAAAGGUAAGAGCAAGAAUUGGAAUUGAAAUCACAACUUCAUUAUGAUUUUCUGUUAUUUCAUUUGGGCAUUAGAUAAAUAUCCUAGUAGUUCAUGUGCUGCAUCAUCGUAGCCGUCAUCCAUCGAAAUAAAUAGAUUACUACAUUAACUGAUCAGUUCAUAUGGACUAAGACUUUCUGAUUGAAUGGUACAAUAUCCUGGUAGUUUAUGCUGGAUCAUGGUUAUCAUUCCAGGGUAGCCCUUCGGCUGCGUAACCUGAAAUUUGAUUUCAAGCUAGGGAACCUUUCUUCUCUUCUGAUUUUACGCUAAUUCCUCUUCUGCUGUUGUCUUCAUUUACUAGCCCAUACUGGUAUACUACAUAUGCAUUUAAUUUUUGUUCGCAGACGAGAGCUUUUUAACAAAUGGCUAUUUGGAUCAAGUACUAGACUGGAUUCCAGGAAUGAAAGAUAUACGAUUGAGGGAUCUUUCAAGUUUUCUUCGUACAACAGAUCCAGAUGAUUACCUUUUCAACUUCUGCAUGGAAUGUGCUGAGAGAGCUUCUGAAGGUUCUGCAGUGAUUUUCCAUACUUUUGAUGCUUUGGAGAAAGAAGUCUUGAGUGCUCUUUACUCAAUGUUUCCUCGUGUCUACACGAUCGGUCCACUUCAAUUACUUCUCAAUCAAAUGAAAGAAGAUGAUCUAGAUUCUAUUGGAUAUAAUCUAUGGAAAGAAGAGGUUGAGUGUCUCCAAUGGCUUGAUUCCAAGAAACCAAACUCCGUGCUUUAUGUGAAUUUUGGUAGCGUAGCGGUCGCCACAAAGCAGCAGCUGAUUGAAUUGGGAAUGGGACUUGCUAAAAGUGGUCACCCAUUUUUAUGGAUAAUAAGGCCUGACAUGGUCACAGGCGACUCCGCCAUAUUGCCACCAGAAUUCACUGACGAGACUAAAGACAGAGGAUUUAUUUCAAACUGGUGUCCACAAGAGGAAGUUCUGAACCACCCAUCAAUAGGAGGCUUCCUAACACAUAGUGGAUGGAAUUCAAUAGCUGAGAGCAUUUCUUCUGGGGUGCCCAUGCUUUGUUUGCCGUUCUUUGGUGAUCAACAAACGAACUGUAGGUACACUUGCAAUGAGUGGGGCAUUGGAAUGGAGAUUGAUAGCAAUGCGGAAAGAGAUAAAAUGGAGAAGCUUGUGAGAGAGUUGAUGGAGGGAGAGAAAGGUAAGAGCAUGAAGAAGAAAGCCAUGGAGUGGAAAAAACUAGCAGAGGAGGCCAAUGGUCCAAGUGGUUCAUCGUCUAUGAAUUUAGACAAAUUGGUGAAGGAAGUGCUUUUGUCGUGAAAAAAUAAAACUGCAUGCUAAACUAAAGACAGUUAAAGCUGAAGACGAAUGUAUUGUUCUCAAGGUGACAUGGUGGUUUCAUUGUAAUGAAGUGAAUUUUUAUUUUUGACCUUUUUGUGUGAAGAUUGAAGAAAGGGGCUGCAAGCCCUCAAAAUAAAUUACAAUAGGCGAGGAGAGGAAAGGCAGAACCAAUGAGAUCACGAUGCAAUACAGGGAGCAAUAUAUUGUUGAGGUAAACUCGAUCGUAUAUGAGUUGUGAAAACAUAUCAAGAACUAGCUGUGCAGCUGCUCUCUGCUGUCUGCUCGACAGGCAGUAUUUUCAUCAAUUUACUUUUAGAUUCACCCCCUUUUAAUGGCCGAAGAUUGAGAAAGUACUAUAAUUUUAUUUAUUAUAGUAAAAACUAAAAGAGCCAAGGUUUUCCUUUGGCAAUUUUCGAUGUUUAUUACUGCUCAUCCUCUUAUAUUUCACCUUGGAUUUCAACAGUGUUUUUUUCUUUUCUUUUUUAUAAACUUUUAAUUUGGUCUUCAAAAUUUUAUUUUGUAUAAUUGAGUUUUUUGAGUUCAAAAAAGGAACAAACGACACUGUUUAUUCUCUUUAUCUUUUACCCGGUUAAAAUUGGUUUGUAUUAAUCAAUCUUAGAAACAAUACAAAUAAAAUAGGAGGAGAUAAAACUCUCUCAACUCAACUCUACUAUCUCAAGCUUUCUCUAUUCUUCUCUGUUCUCUUUUCUCGAUGUUUCACGCAACUGUAACUCUCUUCUUCUCCUCACAAUUUAUCACGCACACAAACAGCUCAUAUACAUAUACAAUGGUGGGAGGUGAAGGGGCAUAAAUCAUGCCAUGAUUUAUGCCAUCCAUUUGUGUCCUCCACCAUAUGCAAAGUGGGAAAUUAGGUAUUCCCACUUGCACAUGGUGGGACAUUGUUGUCUCCAUAAUGCUAACAUCAACAAUUGAGAGCCUUUCUUCUGGUGUGCCUAUGCUUUGUUGGCGAUUCUUUGCAGAUAAGCAAACAAACUGUAGGUACACUUGCAAUGAGUGGGGCAUUGGAAUGGAGAUUGAUAGCAAUGCGGAAAGAGAUAAAGUGGAGAAGCUUGUGAGAGAGUUGAUGGAGGGAGAGAAAGGUAAGAGCAUGAAGAAGAAAGCCAUGGAGUGGAAAAAACUAGCAGAGGAGGCCAAUGGUCCAAGUGGUUCAUCGUCUAUGAAUUUAGACAAAUUGGUGAAGGAAGUGCUUUUGUCGUGAAAAAAUAAAACUGCAUGCUAAACUAAAGACAGUUAAAGCUGAAGACGAAUGUAUUGUUCUCAAGGUGACAUGGUGGUUUCAAUGUAAUGAAGUGCUUUUUUAUUUUUAACCUUUUUGUGUGAAGAUUGAAGAAAGGGGCUGCUGCAAGCCCUCAAAAUAAAUUACAAUAGGCGAGGAGAGGAAAGGCAGAACCAAUGAGAUCACGAUGCAAUACAGGGAGCAAUAUAUUGUUGGGAGGGAAUUAUUUUUUAUUUGGUUUGGAUUUUAGCUAUAAAAAAUAAUUAAAUUAAAAUUUUAUAUAUAAAAAAAACUUAAAUCAAUCCAAAAUAAAUAUAACCGACUAGUUUGGAUUUGGUUCGGUUUGGUUUUUAUAUUAAAGUAAAAACUAAAAGAGCCAAGGUUUUCCUUUAGCAAUUUUUGAUGUUUAUUAAUGCUUCAACAGUGUAUUUUUUUAUAAACUUUUAAUUUGAUUUUCAAAAUUUUAUUUUGUAUAAUUGAGUUUUUUGAGUUCAGAAUAUGAGUAAAAUAAGAUAAAUACCAAAAACACCAUGCCUUUCAUUGUGUGUACCAAGGACCUGAUUUGAAAUAAAGAUCUUGUAUGCAAAUAUACACCAUGCCUUAUAUGUAUAUAUUUCUAUUGCACUGACAUAUUUUUUCAUAUGCUUAACUCUCUGGCAGAGAAGUGUGUGUCUGUCUGUAUAUGUAUAUAUUGAACUAAUGAUUGCUUAGUAUUAAUGUUCCCGAAGGACAAAACAUCAUAUCUACGUCCAAAUGGUUCAAUGAAUUUGGGUUCCUGCUGACUGAAUCCCUUACAAACACUACACGCUACGCUUCUUUUCAUGAAAAAUCUCGCCUAACAAGUCAAAGGUUGAAUAACUUAACUUUCAUUUAUGGGAAAUAUCUUUAUUGAUGGCUUGUUAUGUAAUAAAAAAAUCAUAAAAUUUUAUGAUAUUUAGACAUAGAAUAGAGCAAUUAUAUGAAUGUAGAUAAAUCAAUAUAUAUUUUUUGAAUUAAAUGAAUCUUAUCAAUAUUUUGUGAAUUUCGAUGAUAAAUCUAAAAUUUUUAUUAUAAAAAAAGGGAUGAUAAUAAUCCAAACCAAAAAUAAUAUUGUUUAUAAAAACUAAAAGAGCCAAGGUUUUCCUUUGGCAAUUUUCGAUGUUUAUUACUGCUCAUCCUCUUAUAUUUCACUUUGGAUUUCAACAUUUUUUUUUUUUUUAUAAACUUUUAAUUUGGUCUUCAAAAUUUUAUUUUGUAUAAUUGAGUUUUUUGAGUUCAAAAGAGGACCAGAUGACACUGUUCAUUGUCUUCUUCUUUUACCCGGUUAAAGUUGGUCUGGUCGCCUACUUUUCAGGUGCAUUUAAUGCACCAAACAUCCAUCAAAUUUAACCAAACUUGCACGGAAAUGAUCCUCUACAGUCACUCUACACCCCCAUGUGAAUAGUUUAGUCUGAAUGGCAACCAAGUAGCGCUGACCUAAACAUGCCAACUCAGACAACUUUUUUUGCAGAUUUGACAGUGCCCUAUGCUUACUUUGAGUCAACGGUUUGAAUCCUUCCUAAAAGAAUCAAGGGCUGAAAUUUUACCCCGGUGAAGACGAGAUUACCCUCUUCCACCACCUAUAAAUAGAGGCGGAGUUGAUGGCUUGAGGGAGGAGAAAAUUGGGUCCAAAAUCAGCCAAAAGCCAGCCCUUUUGCCCCAUUUCUGUAGUUUUUUUUCCUCCAUCUCUCUCCCCGCCGUUCCAGCCAACAAACCGGAGCCACCACCAGCUACACCACAGGAACCCAACACAAUUGCCAACAGACCACCAAGAGCCACCUUCGAUUUCUCUUUCCUCUCUGCAGCCCCUCCCGUUUUCUUCUUCUUCUUUUUCUUCCUUUGCCACCAGCCACCAUCUUUGCCACAGCCUCAGUUACCUUCAUCACGCCAGCCCCUCACUAUCUCCACUACCAGCGGUCGCCUUAACUCCUCACCAAAGGCAAAGCAUACACCGCUGGUCCCUCUCUCUCUCCUGCAGAUUUUCUUCUCCUUCUUUCUUCCUGCUCUGCCACUAGCAACCGCCGGUCUCACCACCGCACGACGUCCUCCGUGGCCAGAUCACCACCGUGCCUAGUAGCCUUCUUCUCCACCCAUCUCCAACUUCUGCAACCAUUUGGUUGCAUGCAGAACGUGAACAAUAACUGUUCACAUUCUACAACUGUGCAACAUAAAUUUUUUUAAUGUAUUAAUAUAAUAAUAUAUUAUAUGUUAUUAUUAUAUUUUAAAAAAAAACAAAAAAAUUCAAAAAAUCUUUUGAAAUUUUUUUUUGAUUUUCUCAAAUAGUUUUCUACCAAUUUUGCAUAUAUCGGGUUGUAUAAUUACAUUGUAAAAUACAAAUCUGGUAUUAAAAUACCCGGUUUUCUCCGAAAUAUUUUUUUAAAAAAUCAAAACAUUUUUUUUUAAAAAUAUUUUUUUAUUGCAUACGACCAAAUCCUAAAAUUUUUCCAAGUAUAUUUUUCUUAAAAAAACAAAAAUUGCAUCUUUUUCAUGUUUGAAAAACAAAAUCCAAAAAUUGAUAUCGUUACCAGUUUAUGAUUAUCCAUUAGGAUUUGACCAACAUGUCAAAAAUCUUUUUAAAAUUUUUUUAGGAUUCAGAUGUAGACUUUAAUAUUUGUGGGUUGUAAAAUUACACGAUAAAGUACACCCUCGGGUAUUAAAGAUACAAGGUGUAGAAAUGCGAUGUUAAAAUUUAGACUUUAGAACAGUUAGGAUUUAACCCAAUAAAGUAGAGACUCUCUCAUGAAGAGAGAUCUACCUUGAGCCUUAGAAAGACCAAUAAAAAUCAAUUAAACAACAAUGCAGCUUACCUUGGGUAGGAUGCACUAGGGGUGAUGCGUCUUCCCCUUGCACAAUCAGUCCCUUACUUAGACUCUCGUAGAUCAUAGGUUCCUAGUGACCAUAAUACUAGGUGGCGACUCCUAAACAUUAGUCAUAAUUUUAUGAUUAAAUCCAAAAAACCUUCCCAACACACCACACCUCUCAUCAGGAGGCACGACAAAGAGCCUUCAUCGUCGCCAGACGACGUCGCGCCCCCCGCGACAAUACUCAUCCUAAAUAAUAGGAUGGCAUUCACUAUGCAAAUGUCUAUAGCAUCCUCUUUUUUUUUUUGAAUUUUAAAUUAAUUGAUAAUUAAAAUUUAUAAUUUAAUAAUUAGUUUUAUAUGAGAUUAUUUUAGUAUAAUGAUCCGGGUUGCAAGUUUGACAUGUUGAUUCAAGUUAUUUUUACAAUUUACUUUCUAUAAUAUUAUUCUAGUCUCAUGAUAUGAGUUAUAAGUUUGAUGGGUUUAACUGGAUUUACUCAGGUUAUGUGUGUGUGUGUGUAAUUUUUUCUUAAUUUUAUCAUUUAACAUUAAGUAGAUAGGUAGAUUGAAAAUUAGACUUUAUAAUUUAUUUCAAUUUACUUUCUAUGAGGUUAUCCUAACAUUAUAAUUCGAGUUAUGGGUUUGAUAUAUUAUUUUUGGGUUGACUCAAGUCUUUUUUUUUUCUUAUGUUUUAAUUAUUUUAUUUUCAAUUUCAUCAUUUAAUAUAUAUUGGGUUGUUUGGGAAAUGAACUUCAUAUUUUUUUUUGAUUUUAUUUAUAUAAAGUUAUUAUAUUCUUAUGAUUUAGGUCGUGGAUUUUGUCAGAGAACCAUCUCAACCCAAUAGUUUAAGCUGUUAGGUGAGGUUCAGGAUAUAAUUUAUAUUAUUCUCUAACACACCCUUCAAGUGAAAGCCCUUUAGGCUUGAAACUUGCACAUGCUUACAUUACCUUAUGCUUAAUUUUUAUCAAAUAAAUGGGGGUUGUGAGAUUCGAACUCGUGACCACUUGGUCAUUAAGGCUAUGAUACCAUGUCAGAGAACCAUCUCAAUACAAUACCUUAAGAUGUUAGCUGAAGUUCCAGGAUAUAAUUUAUAUUAUUCUCUAACAUAUUUAACAUGUUAACUCAGAUUGAUAUAAGUAGAUUUAAUAUGAUCUCAAAUUUAUUUAUUUUUUAUAUAAAUAUAUUAAAAUCAUGAAAAAUACUAAAAAGACAAUUUAAUAUUUUUUUUCAAGAUAAAUAAUAUUCUAAAAAUCACUUGGAAGGAAGAGCAACAUUAAUUUCACAAGAUUUUUCAUGAAAAGAAGCGUGGCGUGUAGUGUUUGUGAAGGAUUCAGUCAGCAGGAACCCAAAUUCAUUGAACCAUUGGACGUGAAUAUGAUGUUUUGUCCUUGGGGAAAAUUAAUAUCAAGCAAUCAUUAGUUUAAUAUUUUUGCAGUGAUUUCAACCCAGAUGAAAUGGUAAUAUUGGUGAGAAUAUUCGUGCCUUUAUGACUUUGCCAAGAUGUAAUGGCAAUUUCUACGUUCUUAUCAAAUGCAAAGAUAAUAAUUGACAGCCCUGAUAUUUAAUUUGUGUUUCAUGCCAUAAUAGACUGGAAAAACAGUGUGCGGUCGCAUCUCAUUCAUGAAUCUGAGUACAAAUACGUCCAAGCAGCAAGGUGAAUCAGCACAAUAUCCUGCAAAGAUAAUAAUUGACAGCCCUGAUUCUUGACUACAAAAAAAAAAAAAAAAAAUACUUGAGAUGUUGAUCGUGUUGUGAUUGGACACAAUGAACCUCUCUUCGCUUCUACGAAGAAGAUGAAAUUGAUGAUCUGUCCUCCUUCUUUCUUAUGAAAUCUUAACUCAGAGGUUUUAUUCGAUGACCCGUUAGCUCGGAGUUCAGCCGGGGCUGAGUUUGGUUUUGAAUUGUUGAAGAAGUUGAUCGAUCAAACUUGAGUGGUUUAUGAGAAUUUGCGGCCUAAAUAAUCUAGUCAAUGUUUUAUGAUAUAUAUAUAUAUAUAUAUAAACAAUGUUAUUUCAAUUUAUUUAUUUAUUUUUAAUAAAAUAACAUUAUUUUAAUAAAAUUUAAUAAAUUCAAGUUAACCCAUCUUUAAUUAAAAGAGUUUCAUAUUUUUUAAAGACCAUGAUUUGUCAUAAAAAUAAUGUAUGUUAUGUUAAUUUAAUAUGUCUUGUAAUCAAUAAGUUAAUCACACAUUAUAUUAUUAUAUUAAUAUAUUUUUUAAAUAAAAAAUAUUUUAAAAAAUAAUCACUACCACACUUUCCAACACUAAAAACAAUCUCUUGCAAAGAUAAUAAUUGACAGCCCUUAUUCUUUAUAUAUAUAAAAGAAAAAACCUUCAGAUGUUGAAGGUGUGUGAUUGGACACAGUGAACCUCUCUUCGCUUCUGGGAAGAAGAUUAAUUGAUCUGUCCUCCUUCGUUCUUUUAUAACAGACAGCAUAGUUAUAAAAUCUUAACUCAGUGGUUUCAUUCAAUGAUCCGUUAACUUGGAGUUCAGCCCUAGCUAAGUUUUGUUUUGAAUGGUUGAACAAGUUCAUCGAUGAAACUUGAGUGAUUUGAUGAGAAUUUGCGACCUAAGCAAUCUAGUCAAUGUUUUAGUAAAUUUAUAUCCAAAAAAAAAAAACGUAGUUUUUAAUUAAUUUUUUUAAGAAAACAAUAUCAUUUAAAAAAAAAAAAAAAACUCAAUCCGAGUUCCAACUUUUUCCUUAUAAAAACACCCUUACCUUUCAUUGGGUGUAUACACGUACAAAAAUUGUAGCUUUGCUCUAUAUAGGGACAGAAUCUCUAUAUUGUGUAGGCAAUAUAUAGAGCAAAUAUAGAAAGAAAGUAAGAAACAAAGAAUUAGAGAGAUGAUUUUUAAUAUUUUAGCUGACAAGCCUCAUGCAGUUUGCAUUCCCGGCCCAGCUCAGAGCCACAUUAAGUCAAUGCUUAAGCUAUCAAAAUUACUACAUUACAAAGGUUUUCACAUAACCUUUGUCAACACAGAGUUUAAUCAUAAACGUUUGCUUAAAUCUAGAGGUCCUGAUGCCAUGAAUGGCUUGCCCGAUUUUCGGUUUGAAUCCAUUCCAGAUGGCCUCCCUCCUUCGAAUGAGAAUGAAACCCAAGAUGUCGCUGCACUUUGUGAGGCUGCCAAGAAGAACUUAUUAGCUCCGUUUAAUGACCUCCUCGACAAGCUUAAUGAUUCAGUAUCUUCUAAUGUGCCUGCAGUGACUUGCAUCGUCUCUGAUGGUUUCAUGCCCGUCGCUAUCGAUGCUGCUGAGAUGCGCCAAAUUCCGAUUGCUUUGUUCUUCACCAUCUCUGCUUCCAGCUUCAUGGGAUUUAAACAAUUUCAAGCACUCCGAGAAAAAGGUCUUACACCACUGAAAGGUAUGAGCAAGGAAAAAAAAAAUGUAACUAUAUAUAUUUUGAUUGGGAUUUUCUACUAGUUCAUUGGAUGGUCCGUGAACAAGGGAAAAAGAUCAUUUUUAUUCAUUGACGUUGCAUUACCUUUUAUCAAAAAGCUAAUAUAUGAAUUCAAUUUUAUUUUUUUUGUUGCAGAUGAGAGCUUUUUAAGUAAUGGCUACUUGGACAGAGUUGUAGAUUGGAUCCCAGGAAUGAGAGAUAUAAGGCUAAGAGACCUUCCAAGUUUUGUUCGUACAACAGAUCCAAAUGAUUUUAUGUUUAAAUACUGCUUGGAAUGUACUGGGCGGGCUUCUGAAGGUUCUGCAGUUAUUUUCCAUACUUUUGAUGUUUUGGAGCAAGAAGUUCUGGAUGCCCUUUACUCUAUGUUUCCUCGAGUCUAUACGAUCGGUCCACUUCAAUUGCUUCUCAAUCAGAUACAAGAAGUAUAUCUAAGUUCUAUCGGAUGCAAUCUUUGGAAAGAAGAGGUUGAGUGUCUCCAAUGGCUUGAUUCCAACAAAACCAAGUCAGUAAUAUAUGUGAAUUUUGGUAGCAUAACAACCGUUACGAAGGAACAGCUCGUUGAGUUUGGCAUGGGACUUGCUAAAAGUGGCCAUCCAUUUUUAUGGAUAAUAAGGCCUGAUAUGGUCACUGGCGACUCCACGAUAUUGCCUCCAGAAUUCACUGAAGAAACCAAGGAAAGAAGCUUUAUUUGUGGUUGGUGUCCGCAAGAGGAAGUCCUCAACCACCCAUCAAUAGGAGGUUUCCUAACACAUAGUGGAUGGGGUUCAACAAUUGAGAGCCUUUCUUCUGGUGUGCCUAUGCUUUGUUGGCCAUUCUUUGCUGAUCAGCAAACAAACUGUAGGUACACAUGCUCUGAGUGGGGAAUUGGAAUGGAGAUUGAUAACAAUGUGAAAAGAGAUAAAGUGGAGAAGCUUGUGAGAGAGUUGAUGGAGGGAGAGAAAGGUAAGAGCAUGAAGAAGAAAGCCAUGGAGUGGAAAAAACUAGCAGAGGAGGCCAAUGGUCCAAGUGGUUCAUCGUCUAUGAAUUUAGACAAAUUGGUGAAGGAAGUGCUUUUGUCGUGAAAAAAUGAAACAGCAUGCUAAACUAAAGACAGUUAAAGCUGAAGACGAAUGUAUUGAUCUCAAGGUGACAUGGUGGUUUCAUUGUAAUGAAGUGCUUUUUUUUUUUUUUUUUUCACCUUUUUGUGUGAAGAAAGGGGCUGAAAGCCCUCAAAAGAAAUUACAGUAGGCGAGGAGAGGAAAGGCAGAACCAAUGAGAUCACGAUGCAAUACAGGGAGCAAUAUAUUGUUGAGGUAAACUCGAUCGUAUAUGAGUUGUGAAAACAUAUCAAGAACUAGCUGUGUUGCUCUUUGCUCGACAGGCAAUAUUUUCAUCAAUUUACUUUUAGAUUCACCCCCUUUUAAUGGCCGAAGAUUGAGAAACUAUUAUAAUUUUAUUUUAUUAUAGUAAAAACUAAAAGAGUUAGAGGUUUUCCUUUAGCAAUUUUCGAUGUUAAUUACUGUUCAUCCUUUUAUAUUUUACUUUGAAUUUCAGCAUUGUAUUUUUUUAUAUAUAAAUUUUUAAUUUAAUCAUCAGAUUUUUAUUUUGUAUAAUUAAGUUUCUUGAGUGCAAAUUUAAACCUAAUUACAUAUUAUUUUGAGAGUGAAAGUUGAAUUGCAAGAUAAAGAACUGAAUUAAAAUAAUGAAGAAUUCUAUGAUUUUAAACGAUGAUCAUGUGAUUUUGAAGAGGAUAAGUACCAGCAAGUUGUGCCAUAAAACAGUGGCUGCAUUUAACUAGAUAUAAAUAUCGUCCAGCUAUCUAUGAAAUAACAAGCAAGCAAAGCUCCAUGAGUUUCUCCAGGUAAAACAAUGGAACCCAAGCCAGCACACAGGCCUCAUGAUUUGUCGUUCCAGUUCCAUUUCAAAGCCACAUCAAGCAAAUCUUAAAUUGGCAAAACUUCUGCGUUGCAGAGGUUUCUUCAUAACAAUUGUAAACACAGAAUUCAAUCACAAACGUUUCUUGAAAUCAAAAGGCUCUGAUGCCUUUGACGGUUUGCCUGACUUGCGUUUCGAAACCAUUCCUGAUGGUCUCCCUCCCUUAGAUAUUGAGACCACCCAUGACCAAACUUCUCUUUGUAAUGUUUUUGCAACAAAUUUCUUGACUCCUUCUCCGGACUUUGUUCAGUUCAGAUCAAGAUAUCUUUAUAUUAGUUUAAUUCUUUUAUUAUUUAGAACAUUAUAGUUAUAAAAAAAACUUGUAAUUUAGCAUUAUUAAACAAUACAAAAAGAAAGAGAAUAAUUAAGAGAGCUUAGAGAGAAACACUUAAUAAAAAUAUAUAUUUCUCUCAAUUUUCUUCUCGUUCUUAAGUUCAAGAUGAAGGAUUAUGAAAAAAAAAAUAAUCCAGUUGAGUGUGGAGUGAAGAUAUCUAAGAAUGAUAAAGUGAAAAAGAUAAACUCUAUAACAUUCAAAAUCCUAGUUGAGAGUUUAAAAUAUUUGACAUCCACUCGUCCGGUUAUUAUUUUUAGAGUAGGACUUGUGAGUUGAUUUUGGCUUAUGUUAUGGAUAUUUUAAUAGCUUUAAUCGUUUGGGUUAUAGUGAUAGUUAUUGGGUUGGAGAUAUGAAUGAUAGAAAAUGCAAUACAAGUUUUUUUUUUUUUUUUUCUAUAUGGGAGACAUGGCAUUCACAUGAAGUUCAAAGAAGCAAUCUAUAGUCACCUUGUCAACAUGUGUUUUUCAUUCCAUUUAACUAAAGAGAUUAUUGAAGGAAUUGUGAAUACCAUAAAAGAAUCCUAUUGAAAUUUAUGUGGACAAUUCCUCAAUUAUUGCAUUAGCAACCAAUUCAGUAAUUCAUUAUAGAAAUAAGCAUACUGAUACAAUAUUUCAUCACCUACAAGAUUGCAUGCAAACAAGAAAGUUGAAGUCAAGUAUGUGAAGACACAAGAUCAAGUUGCAAAUACAUUCACAAAACCACUUAAAUAUAAUGUUUUUAUCAAGAUGAGAGACAUGUUUGGAGUUAUGAAAAAAGCAAGUUCAAGGGGGGUGUUGAAAGUAAACCAGAUUUCAUUUCUAAAAAAUAGAGGAACCGGUCUAUUAGUUGAAAACCAGUUGACCAGCUUUAAUAAGUUGAAUUGGUCAACCAAUUCAGAAAUGGUUAACUAGUUCAGUAGGUAGAAUACAAUUCAUGUUCAAAUUAGAAUUUCCUUGUGUUAGUUUAAUUCCGUGAUUGUCUAAGACCUUAUGCCUAUAAAAAGGCUUGUAAUUCAACAUUAUGGACAAGUACAAAAAAAAAAGAGAAUAGCUAAGAGAGCUCAAAGAAAAACACUUAAUAAAAGUAUAUCUUCCUCUCAAUCUUCUUUUUAUUCUUGAGUUUUGACUUUGUAUUACUAUUUUUGACAAAGUGACUAUAUAUUGCUUCUUCAAACUCCAUAUGAAUGAUGUGUCCCCCAUGUAGAAAACAAAACUUGUGUAAUUUCUAUCAUUCAUAUCUCCAUCUCAAUCACUAUCAUUAUCACUAUAACCUACAAGUUCAAAGUUACUAGAAUAACCAUAUAAUAAGCCAAAAUCAACAGUACUUUGAUAUACCGAAGAAUUCACUUCAAAGCUUUGAAGUGUGUCAUAACAGGUGUCUCCACAAACCUCCUCACAAGUCCUCAUCCAAAAAAAAUAUUUGGAUGAGUGCAUGUCAAAUAUCUCAAACUCCUAACUAAGCUUUCGAAUGUUGUAGAGUUUAUCUUCUCCCCUUCAUCAUUCUUUGACAUCUUUACUCCACACUAACCUAGAGUAUUCACUUUUACACAAUCCUUCAUCUUGAACUUUUUUAGAACUUCCCUUGCAAACUUCUCUUGAUUUAUAAAAAUUCUAUUUUCUCCUUAUUUGAUUUCAAUUCUUAAGAAGUAGGACAUGAGACCAAUAUUUGCUAUCUCAAACUCAAGAACAAGAAGUUUGAGAGAAAGAUAUACUUUUAUUAAGUGUUUCUCUCAAAGCUAUCUUAGCUAUUCUCUCUCUUUUUUGUACUUGUUCAUAAUGUUGAAUUACAAGCCUUUUUAUAGGCAUAAAGUUCCAUACAACCAAGGAAGAAUUAAACUAAUACAAGAAAACUCUAUUCUGAAUAGAAAUUAUAUUCUGUCAACUAAAUCAAUCAAUCAUUUUUAAAUUAGUUGAGCGGUUCUCAACCGGUAAACCAGUUUUUCUAUUUUUCAGAACUGAAAUAUAGUUUACUUUCAACAAAGAGCUUGAACCGGUGACAACAAACAAAUCCUUAGAAGAUGGGGGGGAAAGCUCUAUCUCAAAAAACCCAGCCACCGUUCUAGACAAACAUAGUUUCUUCUCACGAACACAGAAAACAACCUGAUCUUCCAUACAAGCCAUAUUACCCCCAGCCUCAGCUACCAUCCAUCACCUUAAACACUCAGACUUUAACAAACUACCGUGGUUUUCACCUACAAUGUUACUUGGAAAACUUCCCAAGUUGGGUCGAUUACCAUAAGCUCAAAGACCGUUUCAGAAAACAGGGCAAAGUUAUUAAGUUGUUUGUUUCUCGAAAAACAAAUCAAGCAGGAAAGCAUUUUGGCUUCGUCACCAUCCUCUCGAAUCUGUCAGACAAAACUCUGCUGGAAUGUUUAAAUGACAUAUGGUUUGAUUCCUACAAAUUGAGAGUUAAUGUGGCUAAGCACAGAAGAAAAGAUGAAGUGAUGAAACAAAAAACAGUGGGAACAUGGAAACAAAUAUCCAAGCUUAACAACAAAGCCAAGGCCCCCAUCCGUGUAAGAGAUAACCGAAGCUAUCUUAAGGCAGUAAGAUCAGGGAGUCAAGUGCAUCAAGCGUCUGAUAAUGCCACACCACGUCCUCAUAACUUCAUUUCUUUCAACACUACAGAUGAGGAAAUUCUAUGGUUAAGAAAUAGUCUUAUAGGCAAGAUAUCUUAGGGAGUAGAUUAUGCACAAAUCAGACAUGGAUUAAUUCAGCUAGGCAUUUGCUUCUCUGCUGUCCAUUUCCUGGGGGGUUCCCAGGCAAUCAUCAGCUUUGAUGGUGAGAAAUCUAUGCAACAAGCCAUGCAGAAAGGUAUGGAAUGCUGGAAGCUCUACUUUGAUGAAGUUCACCCGUGGACGGAAGAAGAUGUGACAGAGAGUCGUCUAGCAUGAAUCUCCAUCUCUCACUUGCCUAUCUCUGGCUGGAGUUUGAGAUGUAUCUCAAACCUCUUCAUGAACCAUGGACGGGUGAUAGGUUUUGACAAGACCAGCCUAAAAAUCUCUGAACUUUAUAGCGUGAAAAUCCUUAUAGGUACUCACUUGCCGGAGAUCCACGACUCUAUAGAUCUCAUGCUAAACUCCAAGUUAGUACACAUACAGCUGGAUGAGAUUGACCCUUUAAGAUAUCCAGAGGCAAAAGGAAUUUCAUACUCGAUGGCAGAAUUUCAAACCAUAUUACUUCAGGGAGAAGAUGCUGACAGUGACUCAGAUGAUGAAGUGUACACUAAUCUGGCUUUUGACUUGACAAGAGAUGACAACAUUUGCAGGCUGGCUAUCGCUGAUAAGAAUUGUGGAGCUGCUGACAAGGCACACACGCUAGAGGCAAGGAAGCACAACCCACAUGGGACAUAUGAGGUCUACGAUCAUAGCUUUGCGGCCACAAUAAAUGAAACUGACAACGCAGAACUGCUACAUAUCGUUGUUGAAGAUCUCUUUCCAGAAAUAUCGUCUCCUAGGACUCCCCACCACUGUUUCUCUACCAACAAGCUUUCCCAAAAUCAACUCCAAGCAGAACGGGGCCUUGUCUUAUACGAUGUGAAUUCAGCAAGCCCACUAGAGCAUCCAAGCAUGGCUUUCAAAAGAGACUCUUUCUCGCCACAACCUUAUACCCCUAUCAGCAGUGAUGAUUCUUUAGAAUCUCACUACAAAAUCCAAACCUUGCCUCUUACAUCCAACCAACACCGGACCCCAACAGCCAAACAACCAAGACUAAAGAAAAUAUCCUCUACUGGGAGUCUCCUCUCCUUGCACUCUUCAGCGAGCAUAUCUUCUAUGGACUCUUAAAUCAGGGUGAAUAAUACUCGUAACCUGAAAGAAUCUGCAGCGGAGUCGUCUCACAAUGAAGUCAACAAAAUGAUCCAUUUGGGAGAAGCUUUGGGUCUUGGUAAUUCAGCUCUCUUGGAACAAUUUUCUGGUCUUAUCAUAAGACAGCUAGAAAAGGAGAAGGAAGAUUGGCAGAAACAACAAUGAAUAGUAAGUUUUCAUCCCUGCAGAUAGGCUUUUAAUUCUGUCAUGAAUAUUCUUUCUUGGAAUUCCUGUGGCUUGGGCAUGAUGAGGAAACGAAGAAGAAUCACGAAAUUAAUAGCAGAAUAUAAGAUUGAUAUAUGUUUCAUGCUGGAAACUAAGCUAGCUAAUUGUUCCAUUGGUUUUGUAUCUCGUAUUUGGAAUGAAAAUCAUGUGAGUUGGUUUAGUAAUGAUGCUCAAGGAUCAAAAGGAGGUCUGCUUGCUAUGUGGAAAAACACUAACUUUGAAGUCUCUAAUAUUGAAUAUGGUCAUGGUUGGAUCGGUUUAUAUGGUAAACAUGUUCACAGUGAUUUUCAUUGCUUUGUUAUUGGCAUCUAUGCUCCUUGUAACUAUCAGGACAGACAAAAACUUUGGGAGGAUCUCAUUCUUCUGAAGCAUGCUUUUGAAGUUCCAUGGAUAAUAGCAGGAGAUUUUAAUGAAACGCUCUCUCAGAAAGACAGAAACAGUGGAAUUUGUCAUCCUGCAGGCUCAAAUUCUUUUAGCAGAUUUGCAGUCUUGUGAGCUCACUGAAUACCCUUUAGCAGAAGGUUAUUUUACCUGGUUCAGAGGAAGGUCCAAGAGCAAACUAGAUCGAAUGUUCGCAAGCUCAACCUACCAUCUUCACUUCCCCAGUUUAUCUCUUCGACGACUUCCAAGAGAGUUCUCAGAUCAUUGCCCUCUAAUUCUAUGUAGCUUCUUGCAAGACCAUGGAUGGCGUCCUUUUCGUUUCUUGGACUGUUGGACUCAAUACCCAAAUUUCAAGCACAUUAUUGAAAGCUUCUGGAAUGAUGCAUGCUCCCUUCACCCUGGCCGCUUUAAAUUUCUCAAAAAGCUUAAUCAUAUUGCAGUCAAAUUGAGGCAAUGGAAUAAGCUUGUAUUUGGAAAUCAAGAAGCUGGCCUUCAACGAACCCUUUCAGCUAUCAACAUACUAGAGGAAAAAUGUGAAGAAGAAGGUUUAACCGACCAAGAGCAGGAGCAUUUAGACUUUUUGUUGAAAGACCGUGGGUUCGCAACAAUCACAUUGAAUCUAUUUGGAGGCAGAAAUCAAGACAGAUGUGGUGCAAAUUGGGUGACAGAAAUAACAAGUUUUUUCACAUGAUUGCCAAUUUCAGGAAGGCUAAAUCAUCAAUACUUAAAAUCCACCAUAAUGGCAACACUUUUGACUCUCAGCAGGGAAUUAAGCAGGCUGCUGUGGAUUAUUUCUCUGAGCUGUAUGACUCCCCCUCUGGUAAAAAGCCGCAGUUAAAUCCUUUGGGUUUCAAAUGUCUCUCUAAAGAAUCCUCUGAAUGGUUGGAGCAAGAAAUCACAAUGGAAGAAGUGAAGCGCAGUGUAUGGGGUUGUGAUGGGUCAAAAUGUCCUGGACCAGAUGGUUUCAACUUCAAAUUCUACAGAUUAGCAUGGGAUUUUAUUGCUCAAGACAUUCUCGAUAUAGUCUUAAGCUUCUUCAGAACAGGAAGGCUUCCCAAAGGAAUCAAUACAACCUACGUAACUCUCCUCUCCAAGACAGUCGAACCCAUUGAGUUUAAAGAUUUUCGGCCCAUCAGCAUGAUUCAUGGUAUUUAUAAGAUCAUUGCUAAAAUCCUUGCAUCUAGACUGAAAGCUGUUAUGCAAGAUAUCAUUAGCAUUAACCAAUCAGCGUUUAUAGCAGACCGCAACAUUAUAGAUGGCUUUAUGAUUGCAAAUGAGCUGGUGAGUGAUCUAAAGAAGCGAAAAGUGGCAGGUCUGAUUUUCAAGAUUGAUUUCCAUAAAGCCUUCGACUCAGUCUCUUGGGAUUACCUAGAUGAUAUCAUGGGUUAUAUGGGGUUUGGUAGAAAAUGGAGAACCAUGAUUUAUGAAUGUCUUUCUUCAUCAAGACUCUCGGUCCUCAUCAAUGGAUCUCCUUCAAAAGAAUUCUCUGUUCGGCGAGGACUGCGUCAAGGAGACCUAAUUUCCCCUUUUCUGUUUGACAUAGCUGCUGAGGGCCUCUUGGUCCUCUUUCAAAGGGCUGCAAUUUGCAUCAGGAAUUUUUGUCAGCCAUCUACAAUAUGCAGAUGACAUGUUAAUAUUCAUCUCGGCAGAUAUUGAUCAGUUAGUUCAAGUCAAAAGAAUUUUAAGAUGGUUUGCUUUGACUUCAGGCCUUCAUAUAAACUUCCAUAAAAGCUCCAUUAUUGGUAUCAAUGUUGACGAUCACUUGUGCUUGCGCUUGGCUACAUCUAUUUUUUGCAGAUCAGACUCCCUCCCAAGCAAAUAUCUUGGCAUGCCACUAGGAGCCAAUCCAUCUCGUAUCUCUACAUGGAAGCCAGUGAUAGAGAAGUUUCGUAAAAGGCUUCAUAUAUGGAAGGGGAGACUACUAAGCAUGGCUGGUCGUCUAUGUCUCAUUAAAAGUGUCCUUAAUUCCCUGCCUAUAUAUUUUAUGUCUGUAUUCAAGAUGCCAAAAGGGGUAGGCAGGCUUCUUUCAUCCAUCCAAAGACGUUUCUUGUGGUGUGGAUGUACCAAGCAAAGAUCUUUCUGCAAGAUCCAAUGGAGAAUAGUGAUGCGCGAUAAGAAAGGAGGCCUCGGUGUAGGCUCCCUUAUAUCAAAAAACAGAGCCCUGCUAAAAUGGAUUUGGAGACUCUCUUCCCCAGGUACAAGCUUAUGGAAAAUGAUUAUCUCUUCAAUGUACAAUCCAUCUUAUGAGAAUGGGAUCCCAAUUUUCUACAACCAACCAUCCAAGAUAUGGAAGGAUAUUAUGUCCAUUGUUCAAACCGACGUUCACCAAGUCUUCACGAAUCAUUGCAAAUUCAUGGUGGGGAAUGGCAAUUUAACAUCCUUUUGGCUAGACAGCUGGAUUGGUGACGACCCUCUCAAAACAGCCUUCCCAAGGCUAUAUCUUUUGUCUUCCUCUAAAUCUGCUUUGGUGGCUGACAUGGGUAGAUGGAGCAAUGGAAUCUGGCUCUGGUCCCUACAAUGGCGCAGACCUCUUUUUCAUUUUGAACAAGAACAACUAUCACUUUUAUCAUCCUUGCUGGAAUCCAAGCCAAUGUUCUGCCACAAGAUGGAUAAGAAAAUCUGGACCCUCAACACAAUGGCCUCUUCAGUGUAAAAUCUUGCUCCAAAAUGAUGGACCAGUUACUCUACGGUGGAGCCAAACCAUUCCAAUCUUCUGUUUGGAUAAAACUAACCCCACCAAAAGUGCAGCUUUUCCUUUGGCUCCUUGUCCAAGACAAAGUAACCACAAGAGAUUUUAUUUCAACGCGACUACCUCUCCCUUCAGGAGUCAAGAUGUGCUUUCUGCAAUAAAAGCUUGGAAUCUUCAAGUCACCUCUUCAUUCACUGCCACUUCUCUUGGAAUAUAUGGAUGAAACUGCUUUCUAAUCGGGGCUUUUGCAGUGUUUUUCCAAAAUCUGUUGAUGAUAUGUGCUACCAAUGGUCUUCUAUGGUUACAGGCAAGCAGCAAAAUCUCUCAUGGCAACUUCUUUUCUCAUGCGUUGUUUGGAAUCUUUGGCUUCAUCGAAAUGAUGUUAUUUUUAAUGACGCUGCCCCUAACCUUCAAAUUUAUUUCUCCAUGGUGCGCCAAAGUAUUGCUUUAUGGUUGAGGCUUGAUUCCAACUCUUUAGAGUUUAAUAUAGAGAAUGUUUAGUCGGGAGGAGUUGGUCUCUUAUGAUUUGUUUGUUCCCCUUUUGUUGCUCUCCCCUGUUUCAUGCAAUAGUUUUUGUGUUUUCCUUUCUUUUGCUUGUUCAUCUGAUGUAAGUUAGGCUAUUAUCUUUGUAGCCUUUUUCUUAAUAAAAUUUUGACUAUUAACCAAAAAAAAACAAAGAGCUUGAACCUCGAAACAGUCCAGCACUUGAAUUUCUCGUUGUUGUUUUUUUUUCUAGCAACAAAAAAGAAUUCCUUCUUGUUGUUAUUUUUUUGAAAAGACAACAAAAUCCCUUCAUUAAAAUCUCAUUUCUUUCUGUAUACUUUCCAGACAUGAUGAUGCUGAUUUGCACAACAUCUCUCCAGCAGCAAUCAAUACCAGUGACCAUGCUACAAUAAUUGGUUUCGGCGAUAAUUUUUCCCACCCUAAAUUUUUGUCAAGCAAAACACUUUCUGUUUCGAUGUGAUCGUUUUUAAAUGUUUGCUUCUUAGCUUGAAAUCAUGGUUGAACCAGCUUAAAGUCGCCUUUUGAUGUUUAUAAUGCUUCCUGCUAAAAAUGCUACUGAACUUUUGUACAAAUCUUCAUGUGGAGUGUGAUUAAAUUACAUAUAUAAGAGUAAGUUUUCAAAGCCUAUUAUGUAGUAUGGCUUUGCUUCAUUAAAAAAUCAUGAAGAAAAGUUGUAGUAAUGCUAUUUCCAUUGUUUUAGUUAAUGUUUUAUUGGACGUAUGAGAUUAACGUGUCCUGGAGAUGUAGAUUCUUUGCUAGGAAAUUGCAUCUCUCUUGAUUAUAAAGUAAUUAAUCAAUUAGUGACGGUCUUUCACCGAUUGAGAGGAAGAUAUAAAAUUGAUUUUUUUAGUAUUUUUUGUAUAAUUUUGAUAUACUGAUAUUAAAAAUAAAAAAAUAAUAAUUUAAUAUAUUUUUAAACGAAAAACUCUUUUGAAAAUUACCCACACAAUAAUAACUAUUUGGAUUUUCCUUUUUUUCACUUCUAUAAACAACUAAAACUCUAAGAUACUUUUUGCUUGAAAAUACCUUUAAAAUAUUUUUUUAUUUUUGAAAUCAACACCUUAAAAUAAUUGAAAAAUAGUAAAAAAAAAAAAAAACAUUAAUUUAGUGUUUUUUUCUACUGCAUCAUUCAUUAAUGUACUUGGGGUUAGGUCGUUGUCAACUUCUCGAGGAUCCACAAUAUUGGAAGUGCAAAUAAUAGAGAUAGAAGGACAACGUUUAAUAGGUUUAAGGGCAAAUAAUUACUUUUUUUAAUUAUUGAUAGAUAAAUCUUGAAAGUCAUUCUUUGAAAUGAUCAUACCUUCAAGAUAUUUGGAAUUCGUUGAAAAAGAAAAACCAAUAAACAACGAGGAAAGAGGCAACAACUCCGACUACUUUGAAUAGAAUAACUCGUCAAAACAUGUGCAUGAUGGUUGAUAAAUUAUUGACUAUUUUUAUCAUGCAUUGAAUUAUAUAUGUUCAUUCAAUAUAAAUUUAGUAGUUUAGAUUUAAAUGUUCUUAUCCCUAAUUUAAUUUUGGUAUACUAUGAAGGCAUAUCCUCCUCACAUUCUUUUGUAGCAAAACAAUCACUCUAAAGAAAGAGUUAGAGAAAAAAGGAAAGAGCUAGAGACAUGUUUCGCAAAAUCUUAGCUGACAAGCCUCAUGUAAUCUGUAUUCCUUGUCCAGCUCAAAGCCAUGUAAAGGCAAUGCUUAAACUAGCAAAACUACUGCAUUCCCGAGGUUUUCUCAUAACCUUUGUGAACACAGAGUUCAACCAUAGACGCUUGCUUAAAUCUAGAGGCCCUUAUUCCCUGAAUGGCUUGCCCGACUUUCGGUUCGAAUCUAUCCCUGAUGGCCUCCCUCCUUCAGAGGAGAAUGC